RNAcentral lists this ribosomal RNA (253 nucleotides) under uncultured bacterium. RNAcentral describes it as "partial 16S ribosomal RNA". It matches the Rfam family "Bacterial small subunit ribosomal RNA", at positions 524 to 776 of the family's 1533-position model. The record is from RNAcentral.
UACGGGGGGGGUAAGCGUUGUUCGGAAUUACUGGGCGUAAAGGGCUCGUAGGCGGCCAACUAAGUCAUACGUGAAAUCCCUCAGCUUAACUGGAAAACGGCAUCGGAUACUGGUCGGCUGGAAGGUGGGAGAGGGUAGCGGAAUUCCCGGUGUAGUGGUGAAAUGCGUAGAUAUCGGGAGGAACACCAGUGGCGAAAGCGGCUACCUGGCCCACUCUUGACGCUGAGGCGCGAAAGCUAGGGGAGCAAACGGG